GGAGCGUGCUAUCAUGCAGUUGAGCGCUGAAGGUUGGUACUUGUACCGACUGGAUGAGCAGCGAACGGGUGAGUAACGCGUGGGGAAUCUGCCUUUGAGCGGGGGACAACAUUUGGAAACGAAUGCUAAUACCGCAUAACAACUUUAAACACAAGUUUUAAGUUUGAAAGAUGCAAUUGCAUCACUCAAAGAUGAUCCCGCGUUGUAUUAGCUAGUUGGUGAGGUAAAGGCUCACCAAGGCGAUGAUACAUAGCCGACCUGAGAGGGUGAUCGGCCACAUUGGGACUGAGACACGGCCCAAACUCCUACGGGAGGCAGCAGUAGGGAAUCUUCGGCAAUGGACGAAAGUCUGACCGAGCAACGCCGCGUGAGUGAAGAAGGUUUUCGGAUCGUAAAACUCUGUUGGUAGAGAAGAACGUUGGUGAGAGUGGAAAGCUCAUCAAGUGACGGUAACUACCCAGAAAGGGACGGCUAACUACGUGCCAGCAGCCGCGGUAAUACGUAGGUCCCGAGCGUUGUCCGGAUUUAUUGGGCGUAAAGCGAGCGCACGUGGUUUAUUAAGUCUGGUUGUAAAAGGCAGUGGCUCAACCAUUGUAUGCAUUGGAAACUGGUAGACUUGAGUGCAGGAGAGGAGAGUGGAAUUCCAUGUGUAGCGGUGAAAUGCAUAGAUAUAUGGAGGAACACCGGUGAGCGAAGGCUGGCUCUCUGGCCUUGUAACUGCACCACUGGAGGCUCUACAAGGCGUGGAGGAGCCAAACAGUGAUUUAGCAUACC
This 774-nucleotide ribosomal RNA is filed under the name Lactococcus lactis subsp. lactis. Its description in RNAcentral is "bacterial SSU rRNA". It matches the Rfam family "Bacterial small subunit ribosomal RNA", at positions 39 to 786 of the family's 1533-position model. Lineage: Bacteria; Bacillati; Bacillota; Bacilli; Lactobacillales; Streptococcaceae. The record is from RNAcentral.